ACGUAGGGGGCGAGCGUUGUCCGGAAUCACUGGGCGUAAAGCGCACGUAGGCGGGCUGUCAAGUCGGCCGUGAAAGGCAUGGGCUCAACCUGUGCAUGUCGGUCGAUACUGGCGGUCUGGAGUAUGGGAGAGGGAACUGGAAUUCCCGGUGUAGCGGUGAAAUGCGUUGAUCUCGGAAGGACCACCAGUGGCGAAGGCGGGUCCCUGGCCCGGGACUGACGCUGAGGUACGAAAGCCAGGGGAGCGAACGG
This 251-nucleotide ribosomal RNA is filed under the name uncultured prokaryote. Its description in RNAcentral is "partial 16S rRNA". It matches the Rfam family "Bacterial small subunit ribosomal RNA", at positions 525 to 775 of the family's 1533-position model. The record is from RNAcentral.